This 468-nucleotide ribosomal RNA is filed under the name uncultured bacterium. RNAcentral's name for it is "partial 16S ribosomal RNA". It matches the Rfam family "Bacterial small subunit ribosomal RNA", at positions 28 to 507 of the family's 1533-position model. The record is from RNAcentral.
GACGAACGCUGGCGGCGUGCUUAACACAUGCCAGUCGAACGGAAAGGCCCUGCUUUUGUGGGGUGCUCGAGUGGCGAACGGGUGAGUAACACGAGAGUAACCUGCCCUUGACUUUGGGAUAACUUCAGGAAACUGGGGCUAAUACCGGAUAGGAGCUCCUGCUGCAUGGUGGGGGUUGGAAAGUUUCGGCGGUUGGGGAUGGACUCGCGGCUUAUCAGCUUGUUGGUGGGGUAGUGGCUUACCAAGGCUUUGACGGGUAGCCGGCCUGAGAGGGUGACCGGCCACAUUGGGACUGAGAUACGGCCCAGACUCCUACGGGAGGCAGCAGUGGGGAAUAUUGCACAAUGGGCGGAAGCCUGAUGCAGCAACGCCGCGUGCGGGAUGACGGCCUUCGGGUUGUAAACCGCUUUCGCCUGUGACGAAGCGUGAGUGACGGUAAUGGGUAAAGAAGCACCGGCUAACUACGUG